This 82-nucleotide small nucleolar RNA is filed under the name Mesitornis unicolor (brown roatelo). RNAcentral's name for it is "Small nucleolar RNA SNORD111". It matches the Rfam family "Small nucleolar RNA SNORD111". From Rfam's summary of the family: The members of this family belong to the C/D class of snoRNAs which contain the C (UGAUGA) and D (CUGA) box motifs. Most of the members of the box C/D family function in directing site-specific 2'-O-methylation of substrate RNAs. The record is from Rfam by way of RNAcentral. Lineage: Eukaryota; Metazoa; Chordata; Aves; Mesitornithiformes; Mesitornithidae.
UGGCCUGAAAUGAUGUUAUGCAUUCAUGUCUCUUCUCUGAGAUGUCUCAUGGAGACAGCUAGCUGCAUUCCUGAUCAGGCUU